GAUGAACGCUGGCGGCGUGCCUAAUACAUGCAAGUCGAGCGAACAGACGAGGAGCUUGCUCCUCUGACGUUAGCGGCGGACGGGUGAGUAACACGUGGAUAACCUACCUAUAAGACUGGGAUAACUUCGGGAAACCGGAGCUAAUACCGGAUAAUAUAUUGAACCGCAUGGUUCAAUAGUGAAAGACGGUUUUGCUGUCACUUAUAGAUGGAUCCGCGCCGCAUUAGCUAGUUGGUAAGGUAACGGCUUACCAAGGCAACGAUGCGUAGCCGACCUGAGAGGGUGAUUGGCCACACUGGAACUGAGACACCGUCCAGGCUUCUAAGGGAGGCCGGAGUAGGGAAUCUUCCGCCAUGGGCGAAAGCCUGAAGGAGCAACGGCGCGUGAGUGAUUAAGGUCUUCGGAUCGUAAAACUCUGUUAUUAGGGAAGAACAAAAGUGUAAGUAACUAUGCACGUUUUGACGGUACCUAAUCAGAAAGCCACGGCUAACUACGUG
This 497-nucleotide ribosomal RNA is filed under the name uncultured bacterium. Its description in RNAcentral is "partial 16S ribosomal RNA". It matches the Rfam family "Bacterial small subunit ribosomal RNA", at positions 28 to 507 of the family's 1533-position model. The record is from RNAcentral.